AACGUAGGAGACAAACGUUAUCCGGAGUUACUGGGCUUAAAGGGCGCGUAGGCGGGUUGCCAAGUCCGGGGUGAAAGCCCCCAGCUCAACUGGGGAAGUGCCUUGGAUACUGGUAAUCUUGAGGGAGGUAGGGGCAUGCGGAACUUCCGGUGGAGCGGUGAAAUGCGUAGAUAUCGGAAGGAACGCCGGUGGCGAAAGCGGCGUGCUGGACCUCUUCUGACGCUGAGGCGCGAAAGCCAGGGGAGCAAACGGG
Molecule: ribosomal RNA, 253 nt
Filed under: uncultured bacterium
Lineage: Bacteria
Description: partial 16S ribosomal RNA
Rfam family: Bacterial small subunit ribosomal RNA
Source: RNAcentral